RNAcentral lists this transfer RNA (73 nucleotides) under Brachypodium distachyon (stiff brome). It matches the Rfam family "tRNA". Rfam says of the family: Transfer RNA (tRNA) molecules are approximately 80 nucleotides in length. Their secondary structure includes four short double-helical elements and three loops (D, anti-codon, and T loops). The record is from Rfam by way of RNAcentral. Lineage: Eukaryota; Viridiplantae; Streptophyta; Magnoliopsida; Poales; Poaceae.
GGGGAUGUAGCUCAAUUGGUAGAGCGCAAAUCAUGCUUGUUUGAGGCAUGGGGUUCAAUUCCUUGCAUCUCCA